AUAAUUGCGAUGAGCAGGAAAAGUAACCUGAUCGGAUCUUUCUCAGAGAGCGGCAGUCACCGGCUGAAAGCUGCCGUGUCAGAAGUUUGGGUGAAGUUCCCCUGUGAGCUGAGGCGCUGAAGAUAUGAAGUAGGUGUCUCCGUAUUCUUCCCACGUUACGGGAAAACGAGCGCGCAGACAGAUUGUUCUGCGAAGCUAGGUGGUACCACGGAGUUAUGCGGCCUUCGUCCUAGAU
RNAcentral lists this non-coding RNA (235 nucleotides) under Butyricicoccus pullicaecorum. RNAcentral describes it as "T-box sequence". It matches the Rfam family "T-box leader". From Rfam's summary of the family: Uncharged tRNA acts as the effector for transcription antitermination of genes in the T-box leader family. T-boxes are found upstream of many aminoacyl-tRNA synthetase genes and some amino acid biosynthetic genes usually in Gram-positive bacteria. The record is from RNAcentral. Lineage: Bacteria; Bacillati; Bacillota; Clostridia; Eubacteriales; Butyricicoccaceae.